Molecule: ribosomal RNA, 743 nt
Filed under: Hysterothylacium fortalezae
Lineage: Eukaryota; Metazoa; Nematoda; Chromadorea; Rhabditida; Raphidascarididae
Description: eukaryotic LSU rRNA
Rfam family: Eukaryotic large subunit ribosomal RNA
Source: RNAcentral
CGAGGAUUCCCCUAGUAACGGCGAGUGAACGGGGAAAAGCCCAGCGCUGAAUCCAUCGGCCACUGGUCGCUUGGAGCUGUAGCGUAUAGGUGCGGCUGUCUGGCCGUUCCGCUUACCCAAAGUCCCCUUGAGCGGGGCCAUUGUCCAUAGAAGGUGCUAGACCUGUACGGGUGGCGGGACAGCCGGUUGGCUGCUCCUUGGAGUCGGGUUGCCUGGGAUCGCAGCCCAAAGUUGGUGGUAGACCUCAUCUAAGGCUAAAUAUGGCCACGAAACCGAUAGCAAACAAGUACCGUGAGGGAAAGUUGCAAAGAACUUUGAAGAGAGAGUUCAAGAGGGCGUGAAACCGCUGAGAUUGAAACGGAUAGAGUUGACGAAACUCGGCUGCAUUCAUUCGGUCGGCUUAGCGGCCCUGCGGCACUCGCUUCCUCGAUGAGGCGGUGCCGUGGGUAGCUGUUGGGUGCUUGACCGGUGUACUUGCGGCCGGUAUGCGCUGAGGGCCUUGCGGUCGCGUGUUGACAAGUGUGUAGUGGACCACUCCUUCCGGGCGUGGAACCCUCCUCGCUUUGAGGCAUGUCGGCCGUGAGGUUUUGAACGUAAUCGUGUCUCCGCUAUGGUGCACCGGCCUUGCUGAGCUUCUGUGGCUUCGGGACGUCGCAUGCGACGCCUUGUUGUCGGCAGUUGCGUGGCGGGGUUCGGGUGCGUCGAGGCGCGCAUCUCGGUGUGAACGUUGACCACCUAUCCGA